RNAcentral lists this ribosomal RNA (251 nucleotides) under uncultured bacterium. RNAcentral's name for it is "partial 16S ribosomal RNA". It matches the Rfam family "Bacterial small subunit ribosomal RNA", at positions 524 to 774 of the family's 1533-position model. The record is from RNAcentral.
UACGUAGGGUCCAAGCGUUAUCCGGAUUUACUGGGUGUAAAGGGCGAGUAGACGGCAUAGCAAGUCAGAUGUGAAAACUUAGAGCUCAACUUUAAGCGUGCAUCUGAAACUGUUAAGCUAGAGUGCAGAAGAGGUAAGUGGAAUUCCUAGUGUAGCGGUGAAAUGCGUAGAUAUUAGGAGGAACACCAGUGGCGAAGGCGACUUACUGGGCUGUAACUGACGUUGAGGAGCGAAAGUGUGGGGAGCAAACA